GGUGGUGGAAUGAAGUGCUCUGGUUCAGGUGUAAAUUUCACUAUAACCUGAAGGUAGGGAGGGGCAGUUAUCCUUAGACUCCGUAGGCAAGCACUAAGGUCUUGUAGUGGAUGUGAACUUCGACUAGAAACCAAUUGAGUGUACGGAGGAGCGGGGAGACAUGGGAGAACUUGGGAAGGUUGAACACCAGAUGGGCUGCGGUGUUGUGGAUAAGUUGCAGGGGUUUGAUGGCAGAAACACGGAGCCCAGCCAACAGAGUUGCGGUAUUCCAGACGGAAUAUGACGAGUGCCUGGAUUAGGGCCUGCGCAGCUUCCUGUGUGAGAAAAGUUUGUUGUAGAGCAUGAACCUGCAGGAACGAGUCACUGUUUUGAUGUUUGCAGAGAACGACAGGAUGUUGUCCAGGGUCAGGCCAGGAUUCUUUGCACUCUGGGAGGGGGAGACCGUGAUGGAGAGGUCUUUUCAGAAUGUAAUUUUUUUUUUUUGCUAUGAAGUGGUGUAGCUAACUACUGGAACUACACAUUACUGUUUUUGCAAAAAAAAAUUGUUCAGGACUUCUACAUUCUAAACCCGGACUGCUCAGGGAAACUUGGUCUUCAAGGACAAACUUUGUUUUGCAGGCCCAAGGUCUUCUCUUGGAAGUGCAGGUUGGGACCAACAUGGAUGAGUACCUGCACCAGGCGGAGGUGACGAGACACCACCCAUUUGUGUUGGCUCUUGGAGAAUGCUGACAUUUUGUUUACAGUAAUUAGUGGACAGGCAUUGGAGCAAGGUACACUGCUCGGGGCACUGGAUGUGUGAUUCAAGUCCUAUUAUGUGUUUUGAUAUCAACUUUCCCACUGUGCCCCAGCAUGGGAACUCCUGAAGACCAUAGUGUAUCAGCUGCCAGGAAUGAUACACCCCCCCCCCCCCCAAGCCAUAAGUGUCUCAUUCCAAUGCUAAUAUGCUCUUAAGGUACUUUAUAUCUCUGUUAAAUUGACUUUUCAUUUGUUUUUUAAUGCAUUUGUGCCUGCUUUUUGCUACAGUAUAGUAUGUGGCUUGUUUGCCUUUAGUUCAACUACUGAAGUGUGUUCUGGUACACUUUUAUUCUAUCACAACAAUUGAUUUGAAAAACAAAUGUUACAUUUUGGGGAUUGUAAAAGUGCAUUUAUGAAUGAAAUACAGUUAAGUAAUGAGUCAUUAGUCCAUGUCUUUAGUAGAGUGACCUUCAAAUGUUUUGUGUAACAAUGUUUUAACUCGACCCAAAUGUAGACCAUUAUUGUAUGGCAAAACAGCAUGGUGUGUGCUCUCACCUAAGAUGGCCGACGUGUGUCAGUGAAUGUCAAUAUCUAUUGAUUGGCACUGUCUGAGACAGACCUGUGUUAGUACCAUUUUGAGACUGUGUCACACACACACUUUGUUUUCUCAGAUUGCAAUCGGAGUGUGCACAAUCAAUUUCAACUGAGGUUUUAGUCUGUUUGGACUGUUUGGGUCAUGAAAUAAUAUACAUGAAUUCUAAUAAUCAAUCCCAUCUGAUGAAAUCAUAUCUUGUGAGAAGUUGAAGUUGGAAGUUUACAUACACCUUAGCCAAAUACAUUUAAACUCAGUUUUUAACAAUUCCUGACAUUUAAUUCCUAGAAGAAAUUCCAUGUCUUAGGUCAGUUAGGAUCACCACUUUAUUUUAAGAAUGUGAAAUGUCAGAAUAAUAGUAGAGAAUGAUUUUUCAGCUUUUAUUUCUUUCAUCACAUUCCCUGUGGGUCAGAAGUUUACACACUCAAUUAGUAUUUGGUAGCAUUGCCUUUCAAUUGUUUAACUUGGGUCAAAUGUUUCGGGUAGCCUUCCACAAGCUUCCCACAAUAAGUUUGGUGAAUUUUGGCCCAUUCCUCCUGACAGAGCUGGUGUAACUGAGUCAGGUUUGUAGGCCUCCUUGCUCGCACACGCUUUUUCAGUUCUGCCCAUAAAUCUUCAAUAGGAUUGAGGUCAGGGCUUUGUAAUGGCCACUCCAUUACCUUGACUUUGUUGUCCUUAAGCCAUUUUGCCACAACUUUGGAAGUAUGCUUGGGGUCUUUGUCCAUUUGGAAGACCCAUUUUCUACCAAGCUAUAACUUCCUGACUGAUGUCUUAAGAUGUUGCUUCAAUAUAUCCACAAAAUGUUCCAUCCUCAUGAUGCCAUCUAUUUUGUGAAGUUCACCAGUCCCUCCUGCCACCCCUGUGCUUCACGGUUGGGAUGGUGUUCUUUGGCUUGCAAGCCUCUCCCUUUUUCCUCCAAACAUAAUGAUGGUUAUUAUGGCCAAAUAGUUAUAUUUUUGUUUCAUCAGACCAGAGGACAUUUCUCCAAAAAAUAUGAUCUUUGUCCCCAUGUGCAGUUCCAAACCGUAGUCUGGCUUUUUAUGGCUGUUUUGGAGCAGUGGCUUCUUCCUUGCUGAGCGGCCUUUCAGGUUAUGUCGAUAUAUCACUCAUUUUACUGUGGAUAUAGAUACUUUUGUACCUGUUUCCUCCAGCAUCUUCACAAGGUCCUUUGCUGCUGUUCUGGGAUUGAUUUGCACCAAAAUACGUUAAUCUCUAGAAGACGGAAAGUCUCCUUCCUGGGCGGAAUGAAGGCUGCAUGGUCCCAUGGUGUUUAUACUUGCGUACUAUUGUUUGUACAGAUGAACGUUGUACCUUCAGGUGUUUGGAAAUUGCUCCCAAGGAUGAACCAGACUUGUGGAGGCCUACAAUUUUAUUUUCUGAGGUCUUUGCUGAUUUAUUUUUAUUUUUCCCAUGAUGUCAAGCAAAGAGGCACAGAGUUUGAAGGUAGCCCUUGAAAUACUUCCACAGGUACACAUCCAAUUGACUCAAAUGAUGUCAAUUAGCCUAUCAGAAACUUCUAAAGCCAUGACAUAAUUUUCUGGCAUUUUCCAAGCUGUUUAAAGGCACAGUCAACUCAGUGUAUGUAAACUUCUGACCCACUGGAAUUGUGAUACAGUGAAUAAGUGAAAUAAUAUGUCUGUACACAAAUGUUGGAAAAAUGACUUGUGUCAUGCACAAAGUAGAUGUCCGAGCCGACUUUCCAAGACUAUAGUUUGUUAACAAGAAAUUUGUUGAGUGGGUGAAGAACAAGUUUUAAUGACUCCAACCUAUGUGUAUGUAAACUUCCGACUUCAACUGUAUUUAGACAAUAGGGCUUUGUGCUAUUUAAAUGUUUUAUAUAUUCAUGUACAUUCUCUGACGUGAUGUAUGUUCUGAAAUGCAGGCAAUAAAAAUAUAUAUUUUAAAUUCAACAUUGUGUGUGGGGGGAUGGUAGUGAAGGCAAAAAUAUGCAAGAAAAUGUUAAAUUAGGACGACACUGAAAAUAAGCCAGUAAUAUAGUAUAAUUUACCCAGCUGUUGGGUCAAGCACACAACCCAAGACGCUGGAUAAGAAUCAAAACCCACCCUCACUGGGUUCAAUUACCCCAAUGCUGUUUGUCCAACAGAGACCCAGUGCUGGGUUGUCGAAAUGACCCAAAUUGGGUUAUUUUUA
Oncorhynchus masou masou (cherry salmon) is the source of this 3478-nucleotide long non-coding RNA. RefSeq lists it as uncharacterized. Lineage: Eukaryota; Metazoa; Chordata; Actinopteri; Salmoniformes; Salmonidae. The record is from RefSeq and is a predicted model, not a curated record. The transcript is spliced from 3 exons.